GCUUGUCUCAAAGAUUAAGCCAUGCAUGUCUAAGCAGAAGCCGUACUACGGUAAAGCCGCGAAUGGCUCAUUACAACAGCCGUCGUUUCUUGGAUCUCUCGAUCUACUUGGAUAACUGUGGUAAUUCUAGAGCUAAUACACGCCUUGAAGCUCUGACCUUCGGGGACGAGCGCAUUUAUUAGAACAAAACCAAUGGGGUUCGCCCCUCGAUUGGUGACUCUGAAUAACUACUCCGAUCGCACGGUCUCGCACCGGCGACGCAUCUUUCAAGUGUCUGCCUUAUCAACUGUCGAUGGUAGUUUAUGUGCCUACCAUGGUUGUAACGGGUAACGGAGAAUAAGGGUUCGACUCCGGAGAGGGAGCCCGAGAAACGGCUACCACAUCCAAGGAAGGCAGCAGGC
Molecule: ribosomal RNA, 401 nt
Filed under: Nematoda environmental sample
Lineage: Eukaryota; Metazoa; Nematoda
Description: SSU rRNA
Rfam family: Eukaryotic small subunit ribosomal RNA
Source: RNAcentral